AAGAGUUCAGUUUAGGGUUUAAAACCCUAAUGGUGAUUGAAUGGAAAAAGUUCAGUUUAGGGUUUAAAACCCUAAUUUUGACUAUAUGGAAAAGUUCAGUUUAAGGUUUAAAACCCUAAUGCUGACUGAAUGGAAAAAGUUUAGUUUAGGGUUUAAAAACCCUAAUGCUGACUGAAGGAAAAGAGUUCAGUUUAGGGUUUAAAACCCUAAUGCUGACUAAAAGAAAAUUCAGUUUAGGGUUUAAAACCCUAAUGCUGACUAAAGGAAAAGUUCAGUUUAGGGUUUAAAACCCUAAUGCUGACUGAAGGAACAGAGUUCAGUUUAGGGUUUAACACCCUAAUGCUGACUGAAGGAAAAGAGUUCAGUUUAGGGUUUAAAACCCUAAUGCUGACUGAAGGAAAAGAGUUCAGUUUAGGGUUUUUAAACCCUA
RNAcentral lists this long non-coding RNA (430 nucleotides) under Nicotiana tabacum (common tobacco). RNAcentral describes it as "long non-coding RNA (NTAB_LNC001619)". The record is from RNAcentral. Lineage: Eukaryota; Viridiplantae; Streptophyta; Magnoliopsida; Solanales; Solanaceae.